This 382-nucleotide ribosomal RNA is filed under the name Escherichia coli. Its description in RNAcentral is "bacterial SSU rRNA". It matches the Rfam family "Bacterial small subunit ribosomal RNA", at positions 292 to 666 of the family's 1533-position model. Lineage: Bacteria; Pseudomonadati; Pseudomonadota; Gammaproteobacteria; Enterobacterales; Enterobacteriaceae. The record is from RNAcentral.
CUGAGAGGAUGACCAGCCACACUGGAACUGAGACACGGUCCAGACUCCUACGGGAGGCAGCAGUGGGGAAUAUUGCACAAUGGGCGCAAGCCUGAUGCAGCCAUGCCGCGUGUAUGAAGAAGGCCUUCGGGUUGUAAAGUACUUUCAGCGGGGAGGAAGGGAGUAAAGUUAAUACCUUUGCUCAUUGACGUUACCCGCAGAAGAAGCACCGGCUAACUCCGUGCCAGCAGCCGCGGUAAUACGGAGGGUGCAAGCGUUAAUCGGAAUUACUGGGCGUAAAGCGCACGCAGGCGGUUUGUUAAGUCAGAUGUGAAAUCCCCGGGCUCAACCUGGGAACUGCAUCUGAUACUGGCAAGCUUGAGUCUCGUAGAGGGGGGUAGAA